RNAcentral lists this long non-coding RNA (674 nucleotides) under Homo sapiens (human). Its description in RNAcentral is "HSALNT0345231". Lineage: Eukaryota; Metazoa; Chordata; Mammalia; Primates; Hominidae. The record is from RNAcentral.
CUAAGGGGAGUUAACGCGCCGCUGCAGCUCAUUGUCAAAGCCAGCUUCAGGCAGAGAACGAAGGAGGGAGCGACUUCGGGGCUGGGUUAAUGUUUUCCCGCAGGCAAGUGGUAGCAGAUGUCAAGGGUUAAGGACAAUUUAGGAGGCUGCACUUGUGUCGGGUGCCUCGGGCGAUGAGCCCAGGAGCCCGCUCUCCACGCAGUGACGCUUCCCAAGCUGGUGCUUUAGACCCCUCACUUGCCUGGCUGCUCUGAGGCCCCGUCCCUGAUGGCUUCUGACAAUUUGGUGUCCUUUGUAAAGACGACCUCAGAUCCUAUCAGCUUCAGUUUCACAAAACCUGGAUCCCCUGCCUCUGUGGUAUGUCUGGACUGCCCUGGGCAGGCAGGGCCUGGCUCUGAGAUGAAGAUUUCUCAGCACUGAAGGACCGCCUGCCUUUGAGCUGUGAAACUAGUCUAUCCUCACAUAGACACCAGUAAACUGAGGCUUGAGAGGCUCAAGGACACCCCGGAGGCCACGAAGGGUAGAACUCACUCCCCUGCUUCCAUCCCUGUCUUGCAUUCACUGCUGUGGCUCGGAGAAGCAGAGGGGUCUUGCUUUGGAGUUGUGUGUGUGUGUGCAUAUGUACGUGUAAGGUGUGUACAUGUGUUGCACACGUGUUCAUUGCAUCUGUGCAU